UACGCUAUGUUGGACUUA
RNAcentral lists this small RNA (18 nucleotides) under Arabidopsis thaliana (thale cress). RNAcentral describes it as "AGO1_5595". Lineage: Eukaryota; Viridiplantae; Streptophyta; Magnoliopsida; Brassicales; Brassicaceae. The record is from RNAcentral.